GUCAAUAUGGAUCUCAUGGAGCUCCUGGGAAGGAUAUGUUAAGUGAGAGCAAAUUGAAGGAUUUGCUUCAUGGAUCUGAGUAUGUCCUCACUUACGAAGAUAAGGAUGGGGACUGGAUGCUUGUCGGUGAUGUCCCCUGGGAGAUGUUUAUCGAUACUUGCAAAAGGUUGAGGAUCAUGAAAGGUUCAGAUGCCAUUGGCCUGGCCCCAAGGGCUAUGGAAAAGUGUCGGAGCAGAAAUUAGCCUAUCUACACAUGAUUAAAGCUAUCCAUCCAGCAUUUCUAGUAGGCGAGGAAGACACAAAAACGGGUGAAGAGCUCAUAAACUUGAAUCCUUUUUAAAGGCAUGAACAGUAGCUGGUUGUUGGUCUUGGAUAGCUCAGCAUGGGUAGAUGCUUUACCUGAUUACGACAUGGUGUUCUUUUAUAUUUGCGUAAUAUAUGUCCUCUUUUAAGUUUUUUUUUAUCAUGUCUAUUUAAAAAACCGUUUGAUAUUGGAGUUUGUCUGCAAACUAAUGUGUGUUGUGUACUGAGAGCUCUUCUAGAGGUAAUUUAGUAAUGUUCUAAGUGUAUUUGCUUGUUUAAGUUCCCUUAAGUGUGUACUUUAGACCCAACGUUUGUCGUUUGAUUAAGUAUGCGUGUGCACUUCAGAAAUUGUUAUUACUGUAUGAAUAAAUGUGUCCUCCA
Molecule: unclassified non-coding RNA, 684 nt
Filed under: Hevea brasiliensis (rubber tree)
Lineage: Eukaryota; Viridiplantae; Streptophyta; Magnoliopsida; Malpighiales; Euphorbiaceae
Source: RNAcentral